Molecule: long non-coding RNA, 961 nt
Organism: Fundulus heteroclitus (mummichog)
Lineage: Eukaryota; Metazoa; Chordata; Actinopteri; Cyprinodontiformes; Fundulidae
Exons: 4
Source: RefSeq, a predicted model, not a curated record
AGGGAAGAAGUAAUACCAGGCUGUAAUGUUUUUGUCAUUUCCAGGCCCAAGGUUUGGAUUCCUGUGGGAGAAGCUUACUGCUGAGUGUCAGAGGAAAAAGUCACUGUCUUUCAACACACGAGUGGGUGGGCAGUUAAUGGAAGAAGAAAGUCACAGAGAGGACAACCCAUUUCGUCUCUAUCUCUCUUGUCCUGCUGGCAGAUAAGGAGAUGCUGCAUGCCAGGCUAAUAGCUCAUACCUGUGGCAGGUUGGCCACUCUCUCCAAUUCUUGCCAGUGGUCUCAGACAGGAUGCCUGGAGAUAACCUUUAAAUCCAAGAAAAAGGAUGGUAGGAAUUGGAGACGAGGGAGAAAGCUCCCCACCCACAUCCAGAGAUUCUGCGGCCUGCUGAAAGGCAGCCAAGCUGAGGAUAUGGCUCAGCUUAACAUCAUCUCUGAGAAUCAGGCCUCGAGCCAACCCAGCAGCUUGACCUAGCAGUUUAAGUGGGACUAGAAAAUAAAGUCUCAAGUCUCUCUUGUCUGGCAUUUUGGUGGUGAUAGUAAGUUCAAGGACUGUCUUCAUUAAGACUAAGUUGUGAAGAUGGAGCUGUGCAUCUGUGGUCUUUACGCAGAGGAGGUGUGUACGAGUACUGAUCUGUUUCACUUGACAGCAGCCACUUAGCCAAUUUUCAACUUUAGAGAAGCAAGAUGCAAGAAAGUGACAGAGGAACAAGACAAGCCCAGGAGUGAAAAAAAUACAAAGAGCAGUGUCUGUGUCUCUGAGUGUGAAAUGACUUUUGUUUGGAGGUAAAGGCAGACUGUAAUAAAUUUAGGACUCUGACUAAAGCCCCUGGGUGAAAUGUCCAAUAGAAACAACAGCCCAGUGUGUUUACUUCCUCCACCUCUCAAUUUGGUGUCAUUAUUCAUCCUGCUAGCUGUGUGCCUGCUAGCCUUGGUGCUUCCAAACCUGUACAAAAAUGCAGA